GACUCCGACUUCAUGGGGUCGAGUUGCAGACCCCAAUCCGAACUGAGACCGGCUUUUUGGGAUUCGCUCCACCUUACGGUAUCGCAGCCCUCUGUACCGGCCAUUGUAGCAUGCGUGAAGCCCAAGACAUAAGGGGCAUGAUGAUUUGACGUCAUCCCCACCUUCCUCCGAGUUGACCCCGGCAGUCUCCCAUGAGUCCCCGGCAUAACCCGCUGGCAACAUAGGACGAGGGUUGCGCUCGUUGCGGGACUUAACCCAACAUCUCACGACACGAGCUGACGACAACCAUGCACCACCUGUGUACGAGUGUCCAAAGAGAACCCCGUCUCGGGGGCUUUCUCGUACAUGUCAAGCCUUGGUAAGGUUCUUCGCGUUGCAUCGAAUUAAUCCGCAUGCUCCGCCGCUUGUGCGGGCCCCCGUCAAUUCCUUUGAGUUUUAGCCUUGCGGCCGUACUCCCCAGGCGGGGCACUUAAUGCGUUAGCUGCGGCACGGAACUCGUGGAAUGAGCCCCACACCUAGUGCCCAACGUUUACGGCAUGGACUACCAGGGUAUCUAAUCCUGUUCGCUCCCCAUGCUUUCGCUCCUCAGCGUCAGUUGCGGCCCAGAGACCUGCCUUCGCCAUCGGUGUUCCUCCUGAUAUCUGCGCAUUCCACCGCUACACCAGGAAUUCCAGUCUCCCCUACCGCACUCUAGUCUGCCCGUACCCGAUGCAAGCCCGAGGUUGAGCCUCGGGAUUUCACACCAGACGCGACAGACCGCCUACGAGCUCUUUACGCCCAAUAAUUCCGGACAACGCUUGCGCCCUACGUAUUACCGCGGCUGCUGGCACGUAGUUAGCCGGCGCUUCUUCUGCAGGUACCGUCACUUGCGCUUCUUCCCUGCUGAAAGAGGUUUACAACCCGAAGGCCGUCAUCCCUCACGCGGCGUCGCUGCAUCAGGCUUGCGCCCAUUGCGCAAUAUUCCCCACUGCUGCCUCCCGUAGGAGUCUGGGCCGUGUCUCAGUCCCAGUGUGGCCGGUCGCCCUCUCAGGCCGGCUACCCGUCGACGCCUUGGUAGGCCAUCACCCCACCAACAAGCUGAUAGGCCGCGAGCCCAUCCCCCACCGAAAAACUUUCCAACCCACACCAUGCGAUGCGAGCUCAUAUCCGGUAUUAGACCCCGUUUCCAAGGCUUAUCCCGAAGUGGAGGGCAGGUUGCUCACGUGUUACUCACCCGUUCGCCACUGAUCCACCCAGCAAGCUGGGCUUCAC
This 1251-nucleotide ribosomal RNA is filed under the name uncultured bacterium. RNAcentral describes it as "partial 16S ribosomal RNA". The record is from RNAcentral.